This 419-nucleotide ribosomal RNA is filed under the name uncultured Prevotella sp. RNAcentral describes it as "bacterial SSU rRNA". It matches the Rfam family "Bacterial small subunit ribosomal RNA", at positions 358 to 774 of the family's 1533-position model. The record is from RNAcentral. Lineage: Bacteria; Pseudomonadati; Bacteroidota; Bacteroidia; Bacteroidales; Prevotellaceae.
GGAAUAUUGGUCAAUGGACGAGAGUCUGAACCAGCCAAGUAGCGUGCAGGACGACUGCCCUAUGGGUUGUAAACUGCUUUUAUGCGGGAAUAAAGUUCACUACGUGUAGUGUUUUGUAUGUACCGCAUGAAUAAGGACCGGCUAAUUCCGUGCCAGCAGCCGCGGUAAUACGGAAGGUCCGGGCGUUAUCCGGAUUUAUUGGGUUUAAAGGGAGCGCAGGCUGAUGAUUAAGCGUGACGUGAAAUGUAGCCGCUCAACGGCUGAACUGCGUCGCGAACUGGUUAUCUUGAGUGAGUUCGAUGUUGGCGGAAUUCGUGGUGUAGCGGUGAAAUGCUUAGAUAUCACGAAGAACUCCGAUUGCGAAGGCAGCUGACGAGUCCUUAACUGACGCUAAAGCUCGAAAGUGCGGGUAUCGAACA